Molecule: long non-coding RNA, 1730 nt
Organism: Liolophura sinensis
Lineage: Eukaryota; Metazoa; Mollusca; Polyplacophora; Chitonida; Chitonidae
Exons: 4
Source: RefSeq, a predicted model, not a curated record
AUUGACAGAAAGUGUUUAUGUGUCAUUUUCUUGACAAGGUUUAAUGCGAUUAAGCUGAAAUUUAAAAUGCAGAUAGAGCAUGUUUGAACAAAUGAAGGGUGCAGAAAUUAGUUGUUUAUCUUGAAAACUGUGGAAACGUGCUGAUCACUGAAUUUGUCACAGAAUCAAUAUUUUCUGAAUUUAAAUAUUUUCUGUAUUCUACUUUAUGUAGUUUGAUGACCUGACCACAAAGCUGCUCUGAAAUCUAUAUCUGCUAUGUAUAUAAUAAACAGUCAUAUUUCUGACAGUACAUAAUAAUUUUGGCCUUUCUUUUUGAUUUAAUUCCGACAUCUUAGUACUAUCUAAUGUAUGAAUGACAUGUGUAUGUGUCUGUGUCAUUCUGCUGUAUUUUGGUUUAGAGGACAGGAUUUGAACAUAUCUCGCUGAACAUUAUACAGUUUUAUGAACUGCUCAGUCAGGAGAGCUACAGGUGUUCACUGACUGCCUUGUUCGCCAUUAAUCACAUUCUUCAAAAUCAGCAACAGACAUUAAUUUUGAUUUGUCAUUCUGUCUGCUCACCCGUACUCUGUCCACCUAUCUGUCACACAGGUCUCAUUGUCUCAUUCUCAUAAAAUUUUGUGUGCAUGUGUUCAUUUUGUGUAACCUCACAUCAAGUUUGAAAUCCAGCUUACUCCAUGAAUAAUUGUUGCAUAUUUCGUGUGUCAUAUUAAUCUUAAUUUGCCAUAAUUAUGACCUUGAAGGGUGCUUUACUUUUCAACUUCAUGCAUAUCAUUGAUUCUGUUAACUUUAUUCUUAAUGUUAUAUUCGUAUCCUUGAAGGUCUGCCAGCAAGCUGAAGAUGGUUGUGAGUUUUCCCCAAGCUUUGCCCGGUUUAAUACUGGCUAUCAUCAUUAGCUGUCUGGUUGAAUAACAAAUAUUCAUGAAUUUCAUCAUAUUUGGCCACUGUCCUGACAGCAUCAGCUGAUGGGAUGUUACAUGUGCUAAAUAUAGGAGUAUAAGGAGAUAUACCCACUUCUGGUUUCAAGGAUGUCACUUCAGAUUGACAACUCCAUUUUCUGAUAUGGUGGAACAGUUUGCACUGUCAUCGUUGUCUUCAUCUCAUUGAACUUCAAGCAAAAUGCAAGCCAUCAAUCCAGGACCUCCUACAGAAAUGCAUCCUACACCUUUCACAGACUUAAAUGUACUGUGUGCAGUAAUGCUUGAAUGACUAUACUCGGGAACGUCCAAAUAUGGAGAAGAGUAAACAUUAAUAACAUAUUUGUAAUAAUCAGCUCAUUACAUAUUAUUCUCGCUGAUAGUAUGAGUACAUCAGUGCAGAAAUUGCAAAGUUCUUGCCCACUUGUUAAAGUGAAGGUAGAAAGUGAUAAUAUUUAAAUUGUGUAAUAUAUAUUACAUAUAGGUGAAUGACUUAAAAUUUUACCCCAAAAGUUCAUUUUUAGAGGCAAAUAAAUGUUGUCAGAUAUACUUUUGGUGCGAUAACUUACCUAUUCCUUAGGAUAUCGUCCUACUUUCCAAACAAACCCCAAAACACCUUUAUAACAUUAAUAGAACUCUCAGAAUGAGACACAAGGUACAAUUUUUAUGAUCAUCCAAAUUUAAGGUCAUAUACCAUAAAUUUCCAAAGUACUUUAACUGCCUUAUCGGUGUAAAUGUUCAAAUAAUAUGUCUUUGUCCAUGUUCAUUUGUAAUAUUUUUUGGUUAAAUAAGUAUAAAUAAAGGGUUCAAAGUUUA